RNAcentral lists this non-coding RNA (23 nucleotides) under Cricetulus griseus (Chinese hamster). Lineage: Eukaryota; Metazoa; Chordata; Mammalia; Rodentia; Cricetidae. The record is from RNAcentral.
GGGACUGAGAGAUGGCUUAGUGG